Molecule: RNA transcript, 1235 nt
Organism: Aegilops tauschii subsp. strangulata
Lineage: Eukaryota; Viridiplantae; Streptophyta; Magnoliopsida; Poales; Poaceae
Source: RefSeq, a predicted model, not a curated record
GGUUUCGAUCUGGCGCAAUCAAUGCGGCGUCAUCCAGGAGGGUUUCCGAUUCCAGCACGGCGGGCGCGUCCGUCCUCCGCCCCGGAUGCCGCUACCGCCCCUGCUCGCGUCGACGUGGCGUUCGUUCUGCUGGGCCUCGGCCACUGAAGGGCGGGCCAAACGUCGCCUGCGGGGUCACAUCGGCCCGCAUCUCCAGGCCCACCACGCAGUGGAGCUCUGCGCCGCCGCCGCCGCCCGCACCAAGAUCCCUUCGCCGAUAGAGCAACAGCUUGCGCUACAAGCAGCGUCAGUCGGGAUCAAGGGGCGGGCCAAACUAGGGUUCUGCGACAACCAGGUACCAUCCUGCCAAUCUUUGCUUCAUCUGAAAUCCAUGCAUGAGGCCAGAUGCUUGAUUCUAAGGAUCUCCGCAGAAACUUGUCCCAUGCCCGGCCGGUCUUUGGGCGAUGUCAUGGAGCAGGAGAGGCCUAUUCUAACCAUUAGAGCGACACAGUUCUUCAUCACUUUCGGAAAUCUGAAGUUACAGUUGAAAAAAAUAACUAGCCCAGCCGUGAGUUAUGCAAUUCUGAGAUUGGAGAAGAAAAUUAUUAAAACUGAAAUAGAGCAAAAGAGAAGAUUACACUGUUUGCAAGGGUCACUAUCUGUCUAACUGAACUCAAAAGAAGGAAAAGCCAUGAGAUAGUACAGGGGAUUACUGUAGCAUGACACUGGGGGUGUUACACCAUCUAUGCAAGGCUUUAAAGCCAUAAAGAACUUGGAGAAAAGGACUCUACCAUCCUCUGUUACCUCAGUAUCUAUCUCCACAACACUGCCAGAGAGCAGAGGACUUGGCUCUUCAUUUCACAGUCUGAACCUCCGUUUGGUGGUAAGGUGUCUCACACUUAUUUUCUCAGACCAGAGUCGACUCCAUGGCCCUAUUAUAUAUGCGCGCACUGCAUUGACCGGCGCAUCAACUUGAAGAGCGGUUGUCGGCUCCAUAGCGUAGACGCGCGCUACCAUGAUGUUGACUCCAAAUUUUGGCACGGUCAAGAACUUAUUUAAAAUGGCCUCAAAUGGAGAAGUAAUCUACAUGAAAGAAUUCCGUAUUGUUGAUAUGAACAUCUUUGAAGUUUGGGCCAUCGCCGUCCGAUUUCACCGCUAAGGCCGAAACUAUGCUCAAAGUACUAAGAUCUUAUAUUCAGAGUACAGUUUGGCGGUUUAAGCCCCCAAGACGACCUCAAAUGGAAAAACUUUCUACA